UACGGAGGAUGCGAGCGUUAUCCGGAUUUAUUGGGUUUAAAGGGUGCGUAGGCGGGCUUUUAAGUCAGCGGUAAAAAUUCGGGGCUCAACCCCGUCCGGCCGUUGAAACUGGGGGCCUUGAGUGGGCGAGAAGAAGGCGGAAUGCGUGGUGUAGCGGUGAAAUGCAUAGAUAUCACGCAGAACCCCGAUUGCGAAGGCAGCCUUCCGGCGCCCUACUGACGCUGGGGCACGAAAGUGCGGGGAUCGAACAGG
This 252-nucleotide ribosomal RNA is filed under the name uncultured bacterium. RNAcentral's name for it is "partial 16S ribosomal RNA". It matches the Rfam family "Bacterial small subunit ribosomal RNA", at positions 524 to 776 of the family's 1533-position model. The record is from RNAcentral.